This 28-nucleotide non-coding RNA is filed under the name Homo sapiens (human). The record is from RNAcentral. Lineage: Eukaryota; Metazoa; Chordata; Mammalia; Primates; Hominidae.
UCCAAAAUGAUAGAUGGUUAUGUUACGA